Molecule: ribosomal RNA, 405 nt
Filed under: uncultured prokaryote
Description: bacterial SSU rRNA
Rfam family: Bacterial small subunit ribosomal RNA
Source: RNAcentral
UGGGGAAUAUUGGGCAAUGGGGGAAACCCUGACCCAGCAACGCCGCGUGAAGGAAGAAGGCUUUCGGGUUGUAAACUUCUUUGACCAGGGACGAAACAAAUGACGGUACCUGGAAAACAAGCCACGGCUAACUACGUGCCAGCAGCCGCGGUAAUACGUAGGUGGCAAGCGUUGUCCGGAUUUACUGGGUGUAAAGGGCGCGUAGGCGGGACUGCAAGUCAGAUGUGAAAUCUGGGGGCUUAACCCUCAAACUGCAUUUGAAACUGUAGUUCUUGAGUAUCGGAGAGGCAGGCGGAAUUCCAAGUGUAGCGGUGAAAUGCGUAGAUAUUUGGAGGAACACCAGUGGCGAAGGCGGCCUGCUGGACGACAACUGACGCUGAGGCGCGAAAGCGUGGGGAGCAAACA